RNAcentral lists this long non-coding RNA (1104 nucleotides) under Bos indicus x Bos taurus (hybrid cattle). RNAcentral describes it as "lncRNA (ENSBIXG00005012319.1)". Lineage: Eukaryota; Metazoa; Chordata; Mammalia; Artiodactyla; Bovidae. The record is from RNAcentral.
GGUGGUAGGGAGGCUCAAGAGGGAGGGGAUAUAUAUAUACUUAUAGCUGACUCAUAUAAGUAUAUAUAUAUACUUAUAGCUGUUGUACAGCAGAAACCAGCACAACAUCGUAAAGCAAUUAUCCUCCAGUUAAAAAUAAAGUUCAAAAAAAGAGAAGGGAAAAAAAACUAAAGGAUCACUAGACACACACAGAAUAACCUAAGUAAACCAAGAAACUCCAGGAAAUAGCUAAGGGAGCUGGUGGCUGUUUGUGUCAUGGUGGUGCGUCAUUCAGGAAUUGCUGACCAGCCCUCUAGGGGCAGAGCUCACUGGCUGGUCACAAAUCCCACUAAUCCCCGUGGGCUGUGUUGCCCCAGCUGACUGCAGAGAGCAGCAGAGACAAGAUUCUCCCAGGCAGAGCAAAGGUGUCUGGCAAGACUGCCCAGAGGAACUGCAGAGGAACCAUCCAGAAGCCGGCAGAGUUUGAACCAAGAAACUUCCGGCAAAGGAGAUACUGUUAACGAAAAGAAGGAAGGAAGAUUGGAAGAAAGGAAGGAGGGAAGGGAGAAAAAAGGAAGAAAAGGAAAAAACCUUGCAACACAAACCCCAAUCGCUUCAAGAUUUACUGUGAUUCCAUUUUCAUUUUCUAAUCUCAUUGCCUAAGCCCUAAAUCACCACACUUUGGUUUCAGUGCAAAGAAAAAAACGUUUGCAGUCCUCUCCUACCCCAUGCCUAUCAGAGUACGUCUUAUACAAAGAGAAGGCAAGAGGGUCUGGGGGACCGAGGAUAUCAAGUCCCUACAAAAGCUCCCAGCCCUCACGCCCGUGCUCUUGCUCCCGGUCUGAUGUCUCCAUGACUCAGGGCUCUGCAGCGAUGGUCCCCUACCCACGGAUGCCAGAGCAACUUUUACCAGUGUCCCUCUUUGGAUGACCAUUCCACAUUCUUUCAAAGAGGAUCCCAUCUAUUUCCACCCCAACCUAACUCACACCCUGCAAAAGCAUUAACACCAUGAAGAAUGACCUCUUUUAGCAAAAGCGAGGAAGAAUUCAGGCUCAGAACUGAAGAAGCCUAAGUUUCCGCUUCAACUUUCUCACUUACUUGUGUACCCUUGGCCAGGUUUCCUCG